This 74-nucleotide transfer RNA is filed under the name Paractinoplanes atraurantiacus. RNAcentral describes it as "Actinoplanes sp. Y16 tRNA". It matches the Rfam family "tRNA". From Rfam's summary of the family: Transfer RNA (tRNA) molecules are approximately 80 nucleotides in length. Their secondary structure includes four short double-helical elements and three loops (D, anti-codon, and T loops). Lineage: Bacteria; Bacillati; Actinomycetota; Actinomycetes; Micromonosporales; Micromonosporaceae. The record is from Rfam by way of RNAcentral.
GUCGCCGUAGCUCAGAAGGUCAGAGCGCGGACCUGAUAAGUCCGAGGCCGGUGGUUCGACCCCACCCGGCGACA